RNAcentral lists this transfer RNA (56 nucleotides) under Ammothea hilgendorfi. RNAcentral describes it as "tRNA-Ala". Lineage: Eukaryota; Metazoa; Arthropoda; Pycnogonida; Pantopoda; Ammotheidae. The record is from RNAcentral.
GCUUGUAUAAUUGAUUUGCAAUCAAAAUUUUAAUUAAUAUUAUAUUAAUUCUUGUC